GACGAACGCUGGCGGCGUGCCUAAUACAUGCAAGUUGAGCGCUGAAGGUUGGUACUUGUACCGACUGGAUGAGCAGCGAACGGGCGAGUAACGCGUGGGGAAUCUGCCUUUGAGCGGGGGACAACAUUUGGAAACGAAUGCUAAUACCGCAUAAAAACUUUAAACACAAGUUUUAAGUUUGAAAGAUGCAAUUGCAUCACUCAAAGAUGAUCCCGCGUUGUAUUAGCUAGUUGGUGAGGUAAAGGCUCACCAAGGCGAUGAUACAUAGCCGACCUGAGAGGGUGAUCGGCCACAUUGGGACUGAGACACGGCCCAAACUCCUACGGGAGGCAGCAGUAGGGAAUCUUCGGCAAUGGACGAAAGUCUGACCGAGCAACGCCGCGGGAGUGAAGAAGGUUUUCGGAUCGUAAAACUCUGUUGGUAGAGAAGAACGUUGGUGAGAGUGGAAAGCUCAUCAAGUGACGGUAACUACCCAGAAAGGGACGGCUAACUACGUG
Molecule: ribosomal RNA, 497 nt
Filed under: uncultured bacterium
Lineage: Bacteria
Description: partial 16S ribosomal RNA
Rfam family: Bacterial small subunit ribosomal RNA
Source: RNAcentral